Molecule: ribosomal RNA, 476 nt
Filed under: uncultured bacterium
Lineage: Bacteria
Description: SSU rRNA
Rfam family: Bacterial small subunit ribosomal RNA
Source: RNAcentral
GAUCCUGGCUCAGAUUGAACGCUGGCGGCAUGCCUUACACAUGCAAGUCGAACGGCAGCACGGACUUCGGUCUGGUGGCGAGUGGCGAACGGGUGAGUAAUGUAUCGGAACGUACCUUUCAGUGGGGGAUAACGUAGCGAAAGUUACGCUAAUACCGCAUAUUCUGUGAGCAGGAAAGCAGGGGAUCGCAAGACCUUGCGCUGAUUGAGCGGCCGAUAUCAGAUUAGCUAGUUGGUGGGGUAAAGGCCUACCAAGGCUACGAUCUGUAGCGGGUCUGAGAGGAUGAUCCGCCACACUGGAACUGAGACACGGUCCAGACUCCUACGGGAGGCAGCAGUGGGGAAUUUUGGACAAUGGGGGCAACCCUGAUCCAGCCAUGCCGCGUGAGUGAAGAAGGCCUUCGGGUUGUAAAGCUCUUUCGGCCGGGAAGAAAUCGCAUAGGUUAAUACCCUGUGUGGAUGACGGUACCGGAAUAA